AUCCAGCUGAUGAGUCUUAAACAGGACGAAACGCGUAGCCUGUAU
RNAcentral lists this non-coding RNA (45 nucleotides) under Schistosoma curassoni. The record is from RNAcentral. Lineage: Eukaryota; Metazoa; Platyhelminthes; Trematoda; Strigeidida; Schistosomatidae.